CGGACGGGUGAGUGAUGUCUGGGAAACUGCCCGAUGGAGGGGGAUAACUACUGGAAACGGUAGCUAAUACCGCAUAACGUCGCAAGACCAAAGAGGGGGACCUUCGGGCCUCUUGCCAUCGGAUGUGCCCAGAUGGGAUUAGCUAGUAGGUGGGGUAAAGGCUCACCUAGGCGACGAUCCCUAGCUGGUCUGAGAGGAUGACCAGCCACACUGGAACUGAGACACGGUCCAG
RNAcentral lists this ribosomal RNA (232 nucleotides) under uncultured bacterium. RNAcentral describes it as "partial 16S ribosomal RNA". It matches the Rfam family "Bacterial small subunit ribosomal RNA", at positions 99 to 334 of the family's 1533-position model. The record is from RNAcentral.